Molecule: RNA transcript, 847 nt
Organism: Setaria italica (foxtail millet)
Lineage: Eukaryota; Viridiplantae; Streptophyta; Magnoliopsida; Poales; Poaceae
Exons: 3
Source: RefSeq, a predicted model, not a curated record
GCAGUUCAAACCAAACCAAACCAAACCAAGCACCCGCUCCAAUCCCUUUCGCCCGCAUUUAAGCGCGUCUGCCCCUAACCGCACUCACGAAAGCUUCUGGCCACCUCGCACUAUCGCGCGCCUCCAAAAAUGCACAGGCAGCUCAGCCUCUCGGCAAGCCCGAGGCAGCAGCAGGGGCAGCAGGACGACGGCAGCGGCAGCGGCAGCGGCAUCGGCAUCGGCAUCGGCGGCGACGCGGCGCAGGCGAUGGCGGUCGGCGAGGACGAGUCGGCCUCGCACUCCAAGGCCGACAGGGCGCGGUCGGCGAUGAGGGAGGAGAGGGCCAUCCACCUCAUCCCGCUGCUCACCUUCGUCUGCUUCCUCCUGCUCUUCCUCUGCUCGCACGACCCUUCCGCCUCUGAUAUGUCGAGCUUCGCUGGAGGCGGGGGACUGAGAUCCGGGAACCGGAGGUUGAGGAUGCUAUAGAAAUUCUUGGCAGUUAUCAGAUGCGUGUCCGUCCAACGUCUUUCAUUUUCAAUCACUGUAUCUUGCGCUCAAAUAUGGUGCAGCAUUUAAAGUUGUACUUGUCCGGCAGUAAGAAAAGCAUGGGGCUUCAGUUCAUGCCGCUGGUUGCUUUCCUUGAAACACGACAUGAAGAGAUGGUAUAACAUGAAGAUAAGGACCCUUGGGAUAAUGUGCUUACACAAUGGCUGAUAUUUGUGGCCAUAUGGGACAAUUAUACUGUCCAAUGUAGAUGGAGGGUGAUGGCCAAACAAACCGAGCGUUGCCCACACUUCGAGCAGUGGAUAAUGGUCCAAAUUCACAACCUUACAGCUGAGACAUGAUUUGCAUACAAAAUAUUUUUUUA